RNAcentral lists this ribosomal RNA (772 nucleotides) under uncultured Neocallimastigales. Its description in RNAcentral is "partial large subunit ribosomal RNA". It matches the Rfam family "Eukaryotic large subunit ribosomal RNA", at positions 24 to 635 of the family's 3401-position model. Lineage: Eukaryota; Fungi; Neocallimastigomycota; Neocallimastigomycetes; Neocallimastigales. The record is from RNAcentral.
GUAGUCUCGCACAGAUGCAUAUCAAUAAGCGGAGGAAAAGAAACUAACAAGGAUUCCCUUAGUAACGGCGAGUGAAGCGGGAAGAGCUCAAAUUUGAAAUCUUCAAGGUUUUACCUUGACGAAUUGUAGUUUAAAGAAGUGUUUUCUGUUGAAGUUUUGGUAAAAGUUCUUUGGAAUAGGACAUCAUAGAGGGUGAGAAUCCCGUAUUUGACCAUUAUUUUCAGCUGUGUGAUACACUUUCAAAGAGUCGGAUUGUUUGGGAAUGCAGUCCAAAAUGGGUGGUAAAUUUCAUCUAAAGCUAAAUAUUGGCGAGAGACCGAUAGCGAACAAGUACCGUGAGGGAAAGAUGAAAAGAACUUUGAAAAGAGAGUUAAAUAGUACGUGAAAUUGUCAAAAGGGAAGCGUUUAACACCAGUGUUGUUUUCUGAAAAUCAACCUCUGUUAGCUUUAUGCAUGUUUGUUUAGACCUAAUCAGCUAUCUUGCAUGUUCUAUUGUUUGCAGUGGUGCACUUUUCAGUUUACAGGUCAACAUCAGUUUUUUUUUACCGUAAAAAAGUUAAAGAAAGGUAGCUCAUGGCUCCGGUCGUGAGUGUUAUAGUCUUUUUCCUAUGCGGUAGGAGAGACUGAGGUCUGCAGUGUAGGCUAUUUGGCUAGAUACUCAGGUGCUAUGUGAUACCAUUUCAUAAACAACUUGUUGAUUAUGUUUUGUCUAUUGCAUACUCGCUUGUACUAUCAUACCUACGCUUAGGAUGUUGAAGAUGUAGCACAUCAU